RNAcentral lists this long non-coding RNA (1630 nucleotides) under Gossypium barbadense (sea-island cotton). RNAcentral describes it as "long non-coding RNA (GBAR_LNC006692)". Lineage: Eukaryota; Viridiplantae; Streptophyta; Magnoliopsida; Malvales; Malvaceae. The record is from RNAcentral.
AAUCUAAACUAAAUAUUUUCAUAAUUUAUCAUUAUCAAGCAUUUCCUCAACCAUUCCAUCACCAUACCAUAAGAUCAUUUACACAAAAAAAAGUAUAUUGCUAUACAUGCCAUACUUAAAUUUACAAGCUAUUACCAAAAGUCUUCCGGAUAGUGUGACUGAGCCUUCGACCUAUCCCGACUCCUGAGCUGGCUUGUCCAAAACUACAAUGAGUAAGAAGGAGGGAGUAAGCAUAAAUGCUUAAUAAGUUCAUAUGCAAAUAAUAAGUAACAUAACAAACAGUUAUACCAAUCAACAUUAGCAUGUAUCACUAAAACAUAUAUCACAUUUUUAAUCAUUUUUCAUCAUCUUAUUACCUUAUCGUGGUUGUAUCAAUACUCAACCCGAGGGUUAAAUACAUACUUGUCCAAAAUAACCAUUUCACAUCACUCACCAAUACUUCUCUUUACAUCUCGAAUAUUCCUCCAUUGAGUAGAACUUUACCCGUUGAACACAUCGGAAUAUAAUUCGGAUACAUGGAUAACUUGCACAUAAGUGCCAUAUAUGCAAUCAAGCAAUCAUGUAACCCGCCCAUAAGCGAACUCGGACUCAACUCAACGAGCUCAGGCGUUCGCAUCCAUAAGUGAACUCGGACUCAACUCAACGAGUUCGGAUGCCUAGUUACAUCUCACGAACUCGGACUCAACUCAACGAGUUCGGACAUUCGCAUCCAUAAGUGAACUCGGACUCAACUCAACGAGUUCGGAUGCUCAAUCAUCCUAGUGACAUGUCACUUGUAUCCUAAUCUAUUCCUAAGGUUCAAACGGGAUUUUUCCUCGAACACUUAUCCUUGCCGUCUUCCGUAGAAUGCCGAAAUCAAUACUCGGUAACAAUUAUAUUUAACAAGUAGUUCACAUAAUUUACAUAUUAUUUGAAAUUAACCACAAAGCAUACAUUUCAUAAUAAAAUUCAGCAUAACAUAUAAUUAACAUAAAUAACUUAAAAAUAACCAUGAUGAUACAUUAUUUACACAUGAACUUACCUUGGUACCAAAAUACAAAGAUUUUGCAAUUUAGUCCACAAUCUUUUCUUUUCCUCGAUUGAAGUCGAUUCCACGUCUUUCUUGAUCUAAAAUAACACAUUUAGCUUAUUUAAUUCUCACAUUAUCAAAUUAAUCCUUAACUCAAAUUUUGGCAAAAUUACAAUUUUACCCCUAAACUUUUGCAUAUUUACAUUUUUGCCCCUAGGCUCGGGAUUAAAAUUUAUUCCUUAUUCUUAUGUUUUACAACAUGCUGAUCACUUUUCUCUUCUAUGGCAACAUCAAAUUCUCACUCUAACAUGUACUUGUGACUAUUAGGUAUUUUUACCGAUUAAGCCCUUUUACUCGUUUUUGCUUAAAAUCGAGUAGUACAAGUUGUCUAACAUAAUUUAAAACUUCAUAUUCUAUCAUAAAACAUCAAAAUACACAAAUUUCACCUAUGGGUAUUUUUCCAAAUAUAAACCCUAGGUUAAAUUAUUGCUAACAUAAGCUUUAUCGAGUUACCGGGAUCUCAAAAUCGUAAAAAUCAUUAAAAACGGGGCUUGGAAUCACUUACUAUGGAGCUUGGAAGCUUGAAACAAACCCUAGCUAUGGAGAACCCUUGAAAUUUCG